RNAcentral lists this ribosomal RNA (253 nucleotides) under uncultured bacterium. Its description in RNAcentral is "partial 16S ribosomal RNA". It matches the Rfam family "Bacterial small subunit ribosomal RNA", at positions 524 to 776 of the family's 1533-position model. The record is from RNAcentral. RNAcentral also lists the same sequence under 1 other name.
GACGAAGGAUGCAAGCGUUAUCCGGAUUCAUUGGGUUUAAAGGGAGCGUAGGUGGACUUGUAAGUCAGUGGUGAAAUCUCUCAGCUUAACUGAGAAACUGCCAUUGAUACUGCAGGUCUUGAGUACAGAUGAUGUGGGCGGAAUAUGACAUGUAGUGGUGAAAUACUUAGAUAUGUCAUAGAACACCGAUUGCGAAGGCAGCUCACAAAACUGUAACUGACACUGAGGCUCGAAAGUGCGGGGAUCAAACAGG